RNAcentral lists this transfer RNA (72 nucleotides) under Toxocara canis (dog roundworm). It matches the Rfam family "tRNA". From Rfam's summary of the family: Transfer RNA (tRNA) molecules are approximately 80 nucleotides in length. Their secondary structure includes four short double-helical elements and three loops (D, anti-codon, and T loops). Further hydrogen bonds mediate the characteristic L-shaped molecular structure. tRNAs have two regions of fundamental functional importance: the anti-codon, which is responsible for specific mRNA codon recognition, and the 3' end, to which the tRNAs corresponding amino acid is attached (by aminoacyl-tRNA synthetases). tRNAs cope with the degeneracy of the genetic code in two manners: having more than one tRNA (with a specific anti-codon) for a particular amino acid; and 'wobble' base-pairing, i.e. permitting non-standard base-pairing at the 3rd anti-codon position. Lineage: Eukaryota; Metazoa; Nematoda; Chromadorea; Rhabditida; Toxocaridae. The record is from Rfam by way of RNAcentral.
GGGGCAGUAGUUCAGUGGUAGAGCUCCUGCUUCCUAUGCGGGGAGACCUGCGUUCAAUUCCCGGCUGCUUAC